AGAAGGAGCGGGAGGUUGCCGCUUUAUGGAAGGCCAUAUUAUUCAGCGAUCUCGCGUCCUUGUGUUCUCGUUCUACGUCACCAUCAACCGUCUAAGUUCAGUUCCAAUUCUCAAGAACAGAGGACGCACGAAAGCUCCCAGAUGUGUUCUUGAUAUCGAGGAUGCAUCGAGUGCAGACUUCAGAUAAUCGAGCCGUUAGAAAUCCCAGAAGAUACUGCGGGCAGCCGGUGUACGGAAGCCUGAGGCCUAACUGGACCGAAAAGGACACUUCAAGAAUUUCAAUGUUCAAAAAAAGGGAUCUUCUGGUGAUGAUGACUGCAUGGACGGAGCAAAGGACCUCACUGAAACUGAAGUACAGCUACACCAGCCAGGACUUAAUCUAGACACAUACUGGAUAAGAACAUCCUGAUCAAACCUGCCAGAUCAAACCAAAAAAUAAAUAAAUAAAUAAAAUACAAGUUCA
This is a long non-coding RNA of Onychostoma macrolepis, 463 nucleotides long. RefSeq lists it as uncharacterized. NCBI's taxonomy places the organism in Eukaryota, Metazoa, Chordata, Actinopteri, Cypriniformes, Cyprinidae. The transcript has 3 exons. The record is from RefSeq and is a predicted model, not a curated record.